AACGUAGGAGGCAAGCGUUAUCCGGAGUAACUGGGCGUAAGGGGCGGGUAGGUGGUUGUGUAAGUUGGUUAUGAAAGCUCCUGGCUAAACUGGGAGAGGUUGACCAAGACUGCAGAACUUGAGUGGAGAAGAGGUAAACGGAAUUCCGCGUGUAGUGGUGAAAUGCGUAGAGAUGCGGAAGAACACCAGUGGCGAAGGCGGUUUACUGGUCUCCAACUGACACUGAGCCGCGAAAGCAUGGGUAGCGAACGGG
RNAcentral lists this ribosomal RNA (253 nucleotides) under uncultured bacterium. RNAcentral describes it as "partial 16S ribosomal RNA". It matches the Rfam family "Bacterial small subunit ribosomal RNA", at positions 524 to 776 of the family's 1533-position model. The record is from RNAcentral.